RNAcentral lists this ribosomal RNA (406 nucleotides) under uncultured bacterium. Its description in RNAcentral is "partial 16S ribosomal RNA". It matches the Rfam family "Bacterial small subunit ribosomal RNA", at positions 29 to 526 of the family's 1533-position model. The record is from RNAcentral.
AUUGAACGCUGGCGGCAGGCCUAACACAUGCAAGUCGAACGAGUGGCGGACGGGUGAGUAAUGUCUGGGAAACUGCCCGAAGGAGGGGGAUAAAUACGGGAAACGGGAGCGAAUACCGCAUACCAUCGGAUGUGCCCAGAUGGGAUUAGCUAGUAGGUGGGGGAACGGCUCACCUAGGCGACGAUCCCUAGCUGGUCUGAGAGGAUGACCAGCCACACUGGAACUGAGACACGGUCCAGACUCCUACGUGAGGCAGCAGUGGGGAAUAUUGCACAAUGGGCGAAAGCCUGAUGCAGCCAUGCCGCGUGUAUGAAGAAGGCCUUCGGGUUGUAAAGUACUUUCAGCGAGGAGGCGUUACUCGCAGAAGAAGCACCGGCUAACUCCGUGCCAGCAGCCGCGGUAAUAC